AAACGUUCCAUUUAAAUUGAGAUAUUUUGUAUUUGUCGUUCCACAUUUAUAAGACCUACGCGUAUUUUGUACACUAACUUGCGUAUUUUUGGAUAAAUUUACUUGGACUUUUACACAGUUAUUAAGAAAAACUUUCAGAUUAUCAUUCCAGAAUCAUGGGACUUUCACCUUUAGAUUUAAGAUUGUUUGAAAAGCGUAUAAUGACUGGUGUAUGAGAAGAUUUGUGUAAACGCUGUCUUGUAGAUAUGUACAAACAUCUUUCGAUAGUUCUUACCCUGGUGAUGUUUAUAGACUUAUCCUCUGGAUCUAUAUAUUGGAAGGUGGUUACUACACCGGCAAGGUUCGGAGGAGAUUUAAAAUUACAAUGUUAUCUAGAUAAGACUACGUCACUUUCAAGAACCAGACAAUGGUGCAAAGGAAAAUAUUCAACUAUCUUGGUUAUGAAUGGAAAAGCAUCAGACCCAACUAAAUAUUCAGAGACUUUAGACCAAACCAAACGUAUUUCCGUUUUAACAAUAUCGGCAUUUGACCCUUCUGAUCUUAAUGUGCAAUAUACAUGUCAACAUGGUUUUUUUAUGUAUAAGAACUGGUUAAAUAUGUCCAUAGAGGAUUUCGGAAACCAACCUACACCACAAAAUUCAGAGAAGGAUCAAACUCUUGGAAUUGUUGGACACAUCGUGUUCACAUUAAUGUCCAUUUGGUACCUCAUACUGUUUCCGUUAACAAUCGCUCUUUAUAAGUAUUUUAACCGAUAAUUCAUUAACUGUCUCCGAAAAACAGUUGUUUAGUCAGCGUCCAUGUGUAUGUUCAAAUUUCCCAGUAUGAAUAAAAAUUGUCAAAAUGAAGUUAGAAAAAUUUCGAAAGAAAAACUGUACACUGAUUACGUUAUUUUAUUGUUCGAUUAACGAUACAUUUUAUAUUGAAUAAUAUUGUAAAAAGAUUCAAAAAAAAGAAAUGUAACUUUUUUUGGUGAUUGAGAUAUGAUGGGAGUCCUUAUCUGACAUUCUAAAUUUAAGAAUAUUCUUCAUGCCUUCGAUGGUUGACAUCUUUACCUGGAGUGCCAGAUACGCAUUCAAAAUGAAAUUGUUAUCAUAAUAAAAUGGCAUAUUGUAGGAGGAAUUUUUCAGAAGUCAUUAGAAAGAUCAUACUGAAAAUGAUAGCCUUUAGUAUUUAAGCAUUGUUUUGAAACUGACAUAAAUUAUAACAACUCUUGAAAAGCAAUUCCUAAUCUACUCCAAAAUCGAAGGGAGCUAGCUAUUACCAACCUCAUCAACACUAUGGAAAGUUACCUUAAAUGUUACACAUUUGGACCCAUAACACUGGAAUGACCUAUAAUAAAUUUUCAUAAUCAAAAUGAAGCUUUUAACAAUCCUAUCAGUUAUACAAAGUUUGAAGGAAAUUAAUCGACACAUACUCAAGUUAGUUAGAUAAAUGCAAAAUAAUGCUUAAAUUUUACGGUGAUAGUCAAAUUGCUUGCAAAUGACAAAACUGGAAAAAAAACAUUACUUCGAAAGGUAUGUUAUAUCAUUGUCAACAUAAAUGUAAUGAUUCAAGCAAAUUGAUCUACUUUUACUGAAGUUCCAAUAUUUAUCAAUUCAAACACCCUAUACAAGUUUCAUGAAGUUUGAUCAAAGCAUUAGAUAUCAUUUGUAAGACUUGAGAAUGGAUGGAAAGAUGAACGGAUUGAUUGACAGACAGAGAGAUAAAAAUUUUCAAAUAAAUUUGGCAUCCUUUUCGAAAAAUCUAUUUAACACAAUUUGAAAUACAGUCAGCAUCAAAAGACUACAUUUAACAAACAUGUUUUAGAAUGCUUCAUCUGAGCAAAAAAGUUAAAACAUUGUUUUAACGCGUCACGUAGUUAUUGCACAGGAACACUUUGAACUAAGAGCUUAAUUAAUAUUACCCUAAUUUUUCAUUUAUUUGUAUUUCUUUUUUCAGGGGGAGGGGGCUAUUUAGGUUAACUUUUAAUCAAUAAAUGAGCCACUGCGUAAAGCACAAACUUCUGAAAGUUUCUUCGAGGAAUCAUUGUCUAUAUUUAUGUUGUUAAUAUGUUGUAAUUUAAUAACUUAUUACUUUUUAUUUAUUAAAUUGACAUCAUGCAAGCCA
This is a long non-coding RNA of Mytilus californianus (California mussel), 2106 nucleotides long. RefSeq lists it as uncharacterized. The transcript has 6 exons. The record is from RefSeq and is a predicted model, not a curated record. Lineage: Eukaryota; Metazoa; Mollusca; Bivalvia; Mytilida; Mytilidae.